UCAUAGUUUACAAUGCAAUUAUAAGAAUUUUUGAAAAAUUAUUUGGGCUCAUUAAUGUGCCCUCAUCAGUCACUACUGCGUGUACCGGCUAGGUACGGCAUUGGCAGCAAGCUGUGACAUCAGCUGACGUAUGCGCAUAAAGCUCUCGCGUGAGAUAAAAUCUCACGACUGUCCAACACUGCUUCAGAGGUCUCUUACGGCGAAAAUAGUGAACUACGUUUAAUUCUGUAGUCACUGAAUACACGUUGGUUGUUUAUGUUUCUUUAAUAAAAUUUGUUUGUUUGUAUACAAUGAAAAUUAUAUAAUUCUUUUAAUUAUAUGUGUUGUAAAACGUUAUUCAGUAUGUCUGUAGAUUUAAUGAAUAUUGAUGGAAAUAUAAAACGUGUACAGAAGGAAACUUUAACGCCAUACAAAGUUGCAACUGUCAUUUUAAUUAAAGAAUAUUGUAAUGAAACAACAAAAGCAAUUGUUGAAAGACGUGACUUUUGUUUAGCUGCAUUAAAAUUGAUUCAAUCACCAGAUAUGGAGUUUAAUGCAUUAUUGAAUAUAUUAUACUCUUCUGAAUAUAUUUUGCAUCGUUUUGCUCAUCAGUUGGAGGUGCAAUUAAAUGUGUUGAAAGGAAAAGGAGUCGAAGGACUAUUAGAUCUAUUUGAUAGUGUUGGACGUCUGAUGAAACCAACUUUAGAUCAUUCUCUUUCUUUGCCUGCGCUGAAUAAAAAUUCUGUUCUGGGAUUAUAUAUAAGGAGGGUUAUUAUUUUUUUUGAGAAAUUACCUUUUGAUCAAGUAGUUGCACUCUAUGAAGCUUUAAAAAAAUAUUUAGAAAGAAGAACUAAUACUUCCGAAAGUUCUGGUAUUUGUAUGGGUUCUAAACUAGAUGAUUCUUAUUCGAAUGAAAUUAAAACAACUUGGGGUGGAAGGCAGGCAGAAUUACUUGUUGCACAACAAGCGCAUGCACUGCAGACAGAUGAACACAAAGCAAUGCCCCCUGCAGAGCUACAAGUUCUUGUACGAGAACUUUUAAGUUGCAGUCCUUAUUAUGCUGAAGCUCAUUAUUUAAGUUACUUAAAUUGCUUAAGAGUUAACGAAUAUUGUGGGGCUGUAGAUAGUCUAUAUCAUUGUUUCGAUAGAUUAGCUGCUAUGGAAAAUCGUUCUGCACCUGAAGAUAGGCCUCGUAUCUUUAGAUAUGCAGCUUUAAAUUUAGCGGUUCUACAUGCUCAAUUUAAUCAUAAAGAAGUAGCACAAGCUGCUUUAAAAGAAGCUAUCAUGAUGGCACAAGAAGCUGGUGAUAAUGUAUGUUUACAAUUAGCUCAUGCUUGGAUGUACUAUUUAACUACUAGGCAAAAAGGGCCUCUUAUAGAAAGAUCCGUCGGUAAAGCGAGUAUGUUAGGAAUAACUCAUACAACUGGAUUAGGUCUUAUUGCAUACGCACAUAACUCUGCUUUAGAAGCUAAGAAUCCAUCGCAGGUGUUUGAGACUUUGACAAAAUCUGACGUUUUGAAUUGUCAACAUUCCAUGAUAGAUUUAAUGUCAAUGACGUAUGCUGAAAAAUGUGCAUUAUGGGCGUAUUAUGGUAAGACCGAGAUGUCUUCGAUUUGCGCGCAACUGUUACUUUUACAUAAUACAGGGGAUAAAAAACAACACAUGUUCAAUGGACCAUCUACAUGUCAGGCUGUUGUUAACGUUGCAAAUAUUUUAGUAGAAUUUGGUGAAUAUUCUUUGGUUGACAUUGUACUUGCCCAUGCUAAAGAAAGGUUUCCUAAUGAACCUUGUAAUAAGAUAUGGAUGUUGAGCGAGCAGCUUUAUGUAUUCACACAAUCAGUGAGACAAGAAAAAUGGAGUGAAGCUGAAGCAAUAGCAUCAAAUAUAUCAAGUUUAGAUUCAUUGGAAUGUAAAUUUAGGUUGGCAGAAGUUUAUUUAGGCAAAGGAGACUAUCCCAAAGGUUUAGAGUGCAUUGACAGUAUCGAGAAGGAUGAACAAAUUAUACCUCAAAAUAGAAUACGAGCUAUGAUUCUUUCAAGUCAGUUAAUGUGUGCAUCUGUUUCACCAGAGAAUAGAAUUGCAGGAGCAAAUUCUCUAGUGCUUCUUAAUACAGCCUUAGAAUUGGCUGUAAAAAACCAUUUAUCUUAUUACGAAGCAUUAAUUAAAAUGCAUCUUGCAAAUAUUCAGUUAAUAAUGAAUAUGCCGACCUUAGCAUUAAAUUUAGUGGAGGAAGUAAUUACUCAAAUCUUAGCUCAUGGAGGAUAUUAUGAUCAAGGUAGAGCGUUUGUUUUAUAUGCGAAAUGUUUAGUUGCUACCGCUCCUGCAAGCGAUAAAGCACGAAAAGAAGUGAUUUUAAAAGCAAUUAAAAUACUUUCUAAAGCGAAAGAUUAUUUUACAAAAGUCGAAGCAUUUGGAAGACUUCGAACGACAUUGUGUUUAGAAUCUCUAUUAUGCCACGAGAUUGAUCUCAAAACUGAACGAAACCAAUGUGCUUUUGAAUUUCGUCAACUCGACCAACAACUACUUACAAAACUGGAUAAUUUGUCUUUGUAUUAAAAGAAUAAGAAUAAAUAAGAGUUGCCUAUGAUAUGCAUAUUAUGCUUCCAAAAUUAAUAAAUUUCACAACGAAUCAGAUUUGUGAAAGAAAUGGAACUUGAGGAAAAGCGAGGAUACGAAUAACGACAAGCAUACAAUAGAAACAUUUAUUUAUAGAAUCCGCUGCAAAGAUACAACGGAAGUUUUGAUAAUCUAGUUUUCUACCUACUCCGAUACAGGAGUUAGGUACAUUCAUAGAAAUAUAAGAGUAGAAUGCACGAGCGUGUUGAAGAAAUGAUACAGAAAUAGAAAGGAAAUUAUAUCCUUGUUUGAUCACGUAUUUUUAUCUAUUCCUAUAUUACAAUCAUUCACACGCUAGCAUAUGAUUCAUGCACUUUAUUCUUAUAUAAGUAUGAGUACAAUUCAUGCGAGUUGUUUUCAUGUUUCACUUAUUUCGCAACGUCAUCUUGAUUCUUUAUGAAGAUUCAACUCGCACGAAUCAUGUAAUAAGUGCACACGAGACACAGAUAGGUGAGCGACGGUACACGGAAAUUGCAAGGAUGAAUUUUCACCAAAAAAUGCGAUCCUUUCUAGGAGUAUUAACCCCGACAAUUUCGGUGACACGUCAAAGACAUUAGAUGAUGCUUUGUUGAGGAAAGUUUGGAUGUGUAUAAGUGAUAGAUUACAUCCGGUACAACACGUCAAGAAACACGCAUAUAGGUUUUGAAUUCUAUCAGUGACGUCUUCUGUGCUCACUUUACAAUACAACAGAGUGGGGAAGACGUACGAAGAUACACAGCCGGGUUUACACACAAUACUUCUUUUUUUUGAUUUUUCUAGAUACAGCAAUGUCACGGUUUACUAUAUUGUCACCAUCUUUUCAUUUGUUCAGGCGUGCUACAACUAAAUUAUGCACGAAUCACGCAAUAAACUCAAUUUCUUACAGAAAAUUAGAUGAAAGUUUGCAGAGUUUGUUUCUAAUGGCAGAUACUUUAUUUUAAUUCUAGAUUAAAUUUAUUUAAUAGCUUCUCUCAAACUUAUUUAAUUACACAGCCUCUGGCCAUCUUAGCGUUUUUAAUAUUUUUCAUUCCUUCUUUAUAAAUUCAUAAAGAUAAACUGAAUUUUUGUAAUAAAGCAUUAAACUGAGAGUUACAAAGGCAAUUGAUCAAUGUGACUGAAAGAUCAACAUAUUUAUAAUCAAUUAAGUUAACUCAAGUUAUUAUUUACUAUUUGUAUGAUGUAUUGUUUUGGCAGUCAUGUGUUGUAGAUACAUUAACAUAUUGCAAAUUUGUUUAAAACUUUUGGAAUUAUUAAUUUUAAGAAUGAAACGCCAUUGUGUUUAAAUUAUUGCUGAUCAUCAUUUGUAAUAUUAUUUAUAAAGCAUAAUUGCAUCUUACUUCAAUAAAAAAAGAAGAAAAUCAUACGCAAAAUACAAUCGUGUAUCACUAGAACAAUUACAAAA
This 3976-nucleotide unclassified non-coding RNA is filed under the name Megachile rotundata (alfalfa leafcutting bee). RNAcentral's name for it is "anaphase-promoting complex subunit 5, transcript variant X1". The record is from RNAcentral. Lineage: Eukaryota; Metazoa; Arthropoda; Insecta; Hymenoptera; Megachilidae.